UACGUAGGGUGCAAGCGUUGUCCGGAAUUAUUGGGCGUAAAGAGCUCGUAGGCGGUGUGUCACGUCGGCCGUGAAAACCUGGGGCUCAACUCUGGGCGUGCGGUCGAUACGGGCAUCACUUGAGUUCGGCAGGGGAGACUGGAAUUCCUGGUGUAGCGGUGAAAUGCGCAGAUAUCAGGAGGAACACCGGUGGCGAAGGCGGGUCUCUGGGCCGAUACUGACGCUGAGGAGCGAAAGCAUGGGUAGCGAACAGG
Molecule: ribosomal RNA, 254 nt
Filed under: uncultured bacterium
Lineage: Bacteria
Description: partial 16S ribosomal RNA
Rfam family: Bacterial small subunit ribosomal RNA
Source: RNAcentral